UACAGAGGUGCCAAGCGUUGUUCGGGUUUAUUGGGCGUAAAGGGUGCGUAGGCGGUCAAGCAAGUCGGGUGUGAAAUUCCGGAGCCUAACUCCGGAACUGCAUUCGAAACUGCUUGGCUCGAGGUCUGGAGAGGUAAUUGGAAUUCUCGGUGUAGCAGUGAAAUGCGUAGAUAUCGAGAGGAACACCAGAGGCGAAAGCGAAUUACUGGACAGAACCUGACGCUGAGGCACGAAAGCUAGGGGAGCAAACGGG
Molecule: ribosomal RNA, 253 nt
Filed under: uncultured bacterium
Lineage: Bacteria
Description: partial 16S ribosomal RNA
Rfam family: Bacterial small subunit ribosomal RNA
Source: RNAcentral